Molecule: ribosomal RNA, 312 nt
Filed under: Shouchella clausii
Lineage: Bacteria; Bacillati; Bacillota; Bacilli; Caryophanales; Bacillaceae
Also listed under: 1 other name
Description: partial 23S ribosomal RNA
Rfam family: Bacterial large subunit ribosomal RNA
Source: RNAcentral
GGAUAAGUUAGAAAGGGCGCACGGUGAAUGCCUUGGCACUAGGAGCCGAUGAAGGACGCGACGAACCGCGAUAGGCUUCGGGGAGCUGUAAGUAAGCUUCGAUCCGGAGAUUUCCGAAUGGGGGAACCCACCAUCCGUAAUGGGAUGGUACUGGCAUCUGAACACAUAGGAUGUCGAGAGGCAGACCCGGGGAACUGAAACAUCUAAGUACCCGGAGGAAGAGAAAGCAAAUGCGAUUUCCUGAGUAGCGGCGAGCGAAACGGAAACAGCCCAAACCAAGAGGCUUGCCUCUUGGGGUUGUAGGACACUCAA